GUGCGUUUGUGUUAAACACAAAUAAACCAGACGUUACUCAACAGUUACUCAGUACUUGAGUAGCUUUUUCACCAAGCACUUUUUUACUCUUACUCAAGUAAUUAUUUGGAUGACUACUUUUUACUUUUACUUGAGUCAUAUUAUUCUGAAGUAACAGUACUUUUACUUGAGUACAGUUUUUGGCUACUCUACCCACCUCUGC
Sander lucioperca (pikeperch) is the source of this 202-nucleotide long non-coding RNA. RefSeq lists it as uncharacterized. The record is from RefSeq and is a predicted model, not a curated record. The transcript has 4 exons. Lineage: Eukaryota; Metazoa; Chordata; Actinopteri; Perciformes; Percidae.